CAGCCGCCGCGGUAACACCAGCCCCUCGAGUGGUGGGGAUGAUUAUUUGGCCUAAAGCGUCCGUAGCUUGCCGGAAAAGUUUCCCGUUAAAUCCGACGUCUCAAGCGUUGGACCGCGGGAAAUACUAUCUGGCUAGAGAGUGGGAGAGGUUAGCGGUAUUCUGGGGGUAGGGGCGGAAUCCUUUGAUCCCCGGAGGACCACCAGUGGCGAAGGCUGCUGACUAGAACACGUCCGACGGUCAGGGACGAAAGCUGGGGUAGCGAACCGGAUUAGAUACCCGGGUAGUCCCAGCCGUAAACGAUGCAUGCUAGGUGUUGGGUUGGCCACGAGCCACCCCAGUGCCGCAGGGAAGCCGUUAAGCAUGCCGCCUGGGAAGUACGAUCGCAAGGUUGAAACUUAAAGGAAUUGGCGGGGGAGCAC
RNAcentral lists this ribosomal RNA (420 nucleotides) under uncultured Nitrososphaerota archaeon. RNAcentral's name for it is "bacterial SSU rRNA". It matches the Rfam family "Archaeal small subunit ribosomal RNA", at positions 459 to 879 of the family's 1478-position model. Lineage: Archaea; Thermoproteati; Nitrososphaerota. The record is from RNAcentral.